RNAcentral lists this ribosomal RNA (439 nucleotides) under uncultured bacterium. Its description in RNAcentral is "partial 16S ribosomal RNA". It matches the Rfam family "Bacterial small subunit ribosomal RNA", at positions 339 to 795 of the family's 1533-position model. The record is from RNAcentral.
CUACGGGCCGCUGCAGUAAGGAAUAUUGGACAAUGGAGGAAACUCUGAUCCAGCCAUGCCGCGUGAGUGAUGAAGGCCUUCGGGUUGUAAAGCUCUUUUAGGUGUGACGAUGAUGACGGUAACACCAGAAAAAGCCCCGGCUAACUUCGUGCCAGCAGCCGCGGUAAUACGAAGGGGGCGAGCGUUGUUCGGAAUCACUGGGCUUAAAGCGUACGUAGGCGGAUUAACAAGUCAGAAGUGAAAGCCCAGGGCUUAACCCUGGAAUUGCUUUUGAAACUGUUAGUCUGGAAUCCGGUAGAGGUUGGCGGAACUCCGAGUGUAGAGGUGAAAUUCGCAGAUAUUCGGAAGAACACCAGUGGCGAAGGCGGCCAACUGGACCGGUAUUGACGCUGAGGUACGAAAGCGUGGGUAGCAAACAGGAUUAGAUACCCGCGUAGUC